This 1712-nucleotide long non-coding RNA is filed under the name Marmota monax (woodchuck). Lineage: Eukaryota; Metazoa; Chordata; Mammalia; Rodentia; Sciuridae. The record is from RNAcentral.
UAGAUGUUCAAGGAGUGUAAAUUUCUGUUAAGAUAAAAUAAUUGCAGAUUCUCUUUACAAUUCAUGUAACUGUUCUUUGCUAGGAACUGUCUUGUAGUGUCUUGUGAGUGUGUCUUACUAUAAGGUUCUAGCAUUCUAAGUGAUCGUGCUGCAUUGCCUGCUCCUCUUGAUGAUGGGUACAGUGGUAGUCAUCCUCUACCUACAUCCUGCUGUUCUCUGGUCACCUCGCACUUGGUCUCUUAAAGUAGUCCUCCUAUCCACUUCAGGCCUUCCCUGUGACCCUGCCUCCAGAGACUCCCUAUGGCCCUUGCUGGGGCAGAGCGAGAGCCUCUGCCUGGUGUGCAGCCUCUCUGAUCUCUGACUGGUGCUGAGAUCAGGUGAACUUGGGGUGUUACUAAAUGCGUGCAUUAUGCCACCUGUGCCCUCUGACCGAAAUGACUUCCCCUCACCAUUGUCAUCUUUUUGGCUGCCUCAUCAAUAUUCAUCUUGGGCUUUUUUGGGAAACUUUACCUAGCCCACGUAUUUCAUAAUCCCGACUAUGUGCCUAUCAUAUUUUAUUGCAUGUAUGUUUGUUUUCCUAUACAAGACUGUAAGCACCUUUAAGAACAGUGUAAUACAUAUGUGCAUAUAGAAAUCAAAAGUUGACAAACCCACUCACUAGGUUACUAUUCAUAUCUCCCGAGACAAUGUCACUUACUGCUUUGUUCCUCGACCUUCUAAAACAUUAAAUCAAUGAGAGGCUUAUGAAUUGUUGUUUUAGAGGCUCUAUGACUUCUCACAUAUUUAAUGACUUGGUAUGAGAGAGUAAUUUAACAGAAAUUUACACUCCUUGGUAUAAAGUCACUUGGAACACAGAGAUUAUUUAUUACUCCAAGGACGUAACAUAUUAAAAUGGAAGAAUCCAGGCACAGCCUUCAAGCCUUCUUCCAGGAGGCCUCACGCAGGAUGUAUACCUUCAUUCAGUAAUGACAUGCAGUAACACUUGUGUUGGGUUCUACCCAGGUAAGCCUGCUUCACUCAAAACUCGGGGUGUUCCCUGGGGGCUGGUCUUGGAGACACCCUCUCGGCCUCUGCACCCAACCACAGCAACCUAAAUUCCAGACCCUGAAGAAAAUUAAGUGUUCACCAGAAAUCAUGUCAUAUUUACACACAGUGUAGGCACUGAUGCAGCAGGGUUCAGUGUCUCAGGCAGGCUAACAAAGCAGGGAACAUUCUAGAAGUCAGCUGUCCAGCCACCAGUAAGAGUCACCUGGUAAACAGACAUUGCUGAAGACAGCAGCCAGGGGCUGCUCUUCUCUUGUCUACUAAUCCAUUGUAAGGCAGAGAUUCCAGCUCCUCCCCCAAACCCCUCCAAGAGAAGCAGGAGCAGCAAGAUGCUGUAGCAACCCAUCCACCACACACUUCAGGUACGAUAAAGACGCAUGCUGAAAUGCAGAAAUCCCCACGUAGGAAGGGAAGACCUUUCUUGUUGGUAAAGUGAAAUAGCAACACUAACAUGACUUUUCUAUAAAACAAGUGUUUUAAAGCACUUAAAAGAAUUACUUUUAAAAAGGAAAUACAUCCUCUAAAUUCAUAAAUUUAUUUGUACUAUAAACACUUUUUUAAAAAAUCUUUUUUAGUCGUAGUUGGACACAGCAUAUUUUAUUUUUAUGUGUGCUGAGGAUCAAACCCAGUGCUUCACACAUGAGCUCUAUCACUGAUCUACACCCCAG